GGUUAAGCGACUAAGCGUACACGGUGGAUGCCCUGGCAGUCAGAGGCGAUGAAGGACGUGCUAAUCUGCGAUAAGCGUCGGUAAGGUGAUAUGAACCGUUAUAACCGGCGAUUUCCGAAUGGGGAAACCCAGUGUGAUUCGUCACACUAUCAUUAACUGAAUCCAUAGGUUAAUGAGGCGAACCGGGGGAACUGAAACAUCUAAGUACCCCGAGGAAAAGAAAUCAACCGAGAUUCCCCCAGUAGCGGCGAGCGAACGGGGAGCAGCCCAGAGCCUGAAUUAGUGUGUGUGUUAGUGGAAGCGUCUGGAAAGGCGCGCGAUACAGGGUGACAGCCCCGUACACAAAAAUGCACAUACUGUGAGCUCGAUGAGUAGGGCGGGACACGUGGUAUCCUGUCUGAAUAUGGGGGGACCAUCCUCCAAGGCUAAAUACUCCUGACUGACCGAUAGUGAACCAGUACCGUGAGGGAAAGGCGAAAAGAACCCCGGCGAGGGGAGUGAAAAAGAACCUGAAACCGUGUACGUACAAGCAGUGGGAGCCUCUUUAUGGGGUGACUGCGUACCUUUUGUAUAAUGGGUCAGCGACUUAUAUUCUGUAGCAAGGUUAACCGAAUAGGGGAGCCGAAGGGAAACCGAGUCUUAACUGGGCGUUAAGUUGCAGGGUAUAGACCCGAAACCCGGUGAUCUAGCCAUGGGCAGGUUGAAGGUUGGGUAACACUAACUGGAGGACCGAACCGACUAAUGUUGAAAAAUUAGCGGAUGACUUGUGGCUGGGGGUGAAAGGCCAAUCAAACCGGGAGAUAGCUGGUUCUCCCCGAAAGCUAUUUAGGUAGCGCCUCGUGAAUUCAUCUCCGGGGGUAGAGCACUGUUUCGGCAAGGGGGUCAUCCCGACUUACCAACCCGAUGCAAACUGCGAAUACCGGAGAAUGUUAUCACGGGAGACACACGGCGGGUGCUAACGUCCGUCGUGAAGAGGGAAACAACCCAGACCGCCAGCUAAGGUCCCAAAGUCAUGGUUAAGUGGGAAACGAUGUGGGAAGGCCCAGACAGCCAGGAUGUUGGCUUAGAAGCAGCCAUCAUUUAAAGAAAGCGUAAUAGCUCACUGGUCGAGUCGGCCUGCGCGGAAGAUGUAACGGGGCUAAACCAUGCACCGAAGCUGCGGCAGCGACACUAUGUGUUGUUGGGUAGGGGAGCGUUCUGUAAGCCUGUGAAGGUGUACUGUGAGGUAUGCUGGAGGUAUCAGAAGUGCGAAUGCUGACAUAAGUAACGAUAAAGCGGGUGAAAAGCCCGCUCGCCGGAAGACCAAGGGUUCCUGUCCAACGUUAAUCGGGGCAGGGUGAGUCGACCCCUAAGGCGAGGCCGAAAGGCGUAGUCGAUGGGAAACAGGUUAAUAUUCCUGUACUUGGUGUUACUGCGAAGGGGGGACGGAGAAGGCUAUGUUGGCCGGGCGACGGUUGUCCCGGUUUAAGCGUGUAGGCUGGUUUUCCAGGCAAAUCCGGAAAAUCAAGGCUGAGGCGUGAUGACGAGGCACUACGGUGCUGAAGCAACAAAUGCCCUGCUUCCAGGAAAAGCCUCUAAGCAUCAGGUAACAUUAAAUCGUACCCCAAACCGACACAGGUGGUCAGGUAGAGAAUACCAAGGCGCUUGAGAGAACUCGGGUGAAGGAACUAGGCAAAAUGGUGCCGUAACUUCGGGAGAAGGCACGCUGAUAUGUAGGUGAAGCGACUUGCUCGUGGAGCUGAAAUCAGUCGAAGAUACCAGCUGGCUGCAACUGUUUAUUAAAAACACAGCACUGUGCAAACACGAAAGUGGACGUAUACGGUGUGACGCCUGCCCGGUGCCGGAAGGUUAAUUGAUGGGGUUAGCGGUAACGCGAAGCUCUUGAUCGAAGCCCCGGUAAACGGCGGCCGUAACUAUAACGGUCCUAAGGUAGCGAAAUUCCUUGUCGGGUAAGUUCCGACCUGCACGAAUGGCGUAAUGAUGGCCAGGCUGUCUCCACCCGAGACUCAGUGAAAUUGAACUCGCUGUGAAGAUGCAGUGUACCCGCGGCAAGACGGAAAGACCCCGUGAACCUUUACUAUAGCUUGACACUGAACAUUGAGCCUUGAUGUGUAGGAUAGGUGGGAGGCUUUGAAGUGUGGACGCCAGUCUGCAUGGAGCCGGCCUUGAAAUACCACCCUUUAAUGUUUGAUGUUCUAACGUUGGCCCCUGACCGGGGUUGCGGACAGUGUCUGGUGGGUAGUUUGACUGGGGCGGUCUCCUCCUAAAGAGUAACGGAGGAGCACGAAGGUUGGCUAAUCCUGGUCGGACAUCAGGAGGUUAGUGCAAUGGCAUAAGCCAGCUUGACUGCGAGCGUGACGGCGCGAGCAGGUGCGAAAGCAGGUCAUAGUGAUCCGGUGGUUCUGAAUGGAAGGGCCAUCGCUCAACGGAUAAAAGGUACUCCGGGGAUAACAGGCUGAUACCGCCCAAGAGUUCAUAUCGACGGCGGUGUUUGGCACCUCGAUGUCGGCUCAUCACAUCCUGGGGCUGAAGUAGGUCCCAAGGGUAUGGCUGUUCGCCAUUUAAAGUGGUACGCGAGCUGGGUUUAGAACGUCGUGAGACAGUUCGGUCCCUAUCUGCCGUGGGCGCUGGAGAACUGAGGGGGGCUGCUCCUAGUACGAGAGGACCGGAGUGGACGCAUCACUGGUGUUCGGGUUGUCAUGCCAAUGGCACUGCCCGGUAGCUAAAUGCGGAAGAGAUAAGUGCUGAAAGCAUCUAAGCACGAAACUUGCCCCGAGAUGAGUUCUCCCUGACUCCUUGAGAGUCCUGAAGGAACGUUGAAGACGACGACGUUGAUAGGCCGGGUGUGUAAGCGCAGCGAUGCGUUGAGCUAACCGGUACUAAUGAACCGUGAGGCUUAACCUU
RNAcentral lists this ribosomal RNA (2904 nucleotides) under Escherichia coli. Its description in RNAcentral is "23S ribosomal RNA". It matches the Rfam family "Bacterial large subunit ribosomal RNA". The record is from RNAcentral. Lineage: Bacteria; Pseudomonadati; Pseudomonadota; Gammaproteobacteria; Enterobacterales; Enterobacteriaceae.